This 1443-nucleotide long non-coding RNA is filed under the name Olea europaea subsp. europaea. The record is from RNAcentral. Lineage: Eukaryota; Viridiplantae; Streptophyta; Magnoliopsida; Lamiales; Oleaceae.
CAUCACACCAAAUUUUAAACUCAAAACAUUCUCUCUCUCUAGCCCACCUCACCUCCGGCGACCCCCACCCCACCUCUGGCAACUUUUCCGACGACUGCUUCGACUCCAGCGAACAAUUUCGGCGACCCACACCCCACCUCUGACGGCCGCUCCGACGGCCUCUUUCGUGAAUAUUCCGGCGACCUCCCCGACGACGUCCGUUCCAGUGACUAUUCCGAUGACCGCUCACUUCUCCGGCAGCCUACCUUUUUUUCUUCUUUUUGGGUAUUGACCUGUGACCAGUUCCAUUAGAUCUAUGACCUAUGCAAAUUGUGAUUUGUGAGGUCUAUUGAAUCUGUGACCUAAUCAGGCUGUGGCUAGUAACAUACAAUGUGACCUACUGAAUUGUGAACUCAAACCUGUAACCAGAACGGCGAAUUGUGAUCCGUAACGUAUGAAUUGUGACCUUAUGUGUUCAUGACCAAAUUUUUCUGCAUUGUGAUUGUCUGUGACCAUGUUAGUCUAAUUUGUGAUCAUAUGUGACCAAGUCACAUACAGUCACGGUUAAUACAAAUCUGGUCACAGACGGUCACAAUGAAGAUAGAUUCGGUCACUCACCACCAUUCCUAACACCGGAUUCACAAUCUGUAUCGCCAUCGUCCAUACAAGCAACGAUUUCCAUCCACCACAGAUUAAGCCAUCUACUACCAUACACAAAACAUCAGAUUGCAGAGGAAGAUCCAAUUGCAGCAACCAAAUAUGUUGAAAAAUUAGUACAACAACUAAUUAAUCCAAUUGUAGUAACCAAAUAUUACAAAGUAGAACAAGGCCACCAGUUAUGUUAAAAAAGACCAAAAAGUGCAAAAUUUAAAUGCAUACUUCGAACAUUUUGCAGGCCAAGUUUAUAGCAUUUUACUCGAGGUCCUGUUGUUCUGCACCAGAAAAUGUGCUCAUUUAAAUCAUUAAAGCCUGCCUAGAAAUCUAUUAUUAUAUAAAAACACCUCUUCUGGAAAAGAUUUGGCAUUCUCCUUUUACUUUGUUCCAUCUACAACAAUAUUUAUUACACACUGGUACAAGAGGAAAUACCAAAAACACAUUUUCCAGAAACUAAAAGACCUUUUUCCUAAUAUCAAGACCUUUAAUCAAUUAAGGUGCAUCACCUUUUUCCUAAACACAUUUUCCAGAAACUAAACACGUUGACCAUUGCGCCGGACUGUCAAAGGCCACUUCAGGCGACGGUGGCACGGUGCAAUGUCAUCCCCAACAAACAGAGAACGAAGGAUGGAGAAGGGAAGGGGGAGAGCUUGGUGGCGACAGUCUGGUGGUGGUUGUGCUUUCCGGUGGUAGGUGGUCGGAAUCUAGAGAAUAGGGUGGAGAAGAAGCAGUCUAUUUGAUUUUUGGGAAAGAGAGUGCCGAUUAGAUUUUUGGGGAAGAGAGAAAGUCUGUAGGUUAGACAUAAAUCGA